UACAGAGGAUGCAAGCGUUAUCCGGAAUGAUUGGGCGUAAAGCAUCUGUAGGUGGCUUUUUAAGUCCGCCGUCAAAUCCCAGGGCUCAACCCUGGACAAGCGGUGGAAACUAUCAAGCUGGAGUACGGUAGGGGAAAAGGGAAUUUGUGGUGGAGUAGUGAAAUGCGUAGAGAUCGGAAAGAACACCAACGGUGAAAGCACUAUGCUGGGCCGACACUAACACUGAGAGACGAAAGCUAGGGGAGCAAAUGGG
This 253-nucleotide ribosomal RNA is filed under the name uncultured bacterium. RNAcentral's name for it is "partial 16S ribosomal RNA". It matches the Rfam family "Bacterial small subunit ribosomal RNA", at positions 524 to 776 of the family's 1533-position model. The record is from RNAcentral.